This 409-nucleotide ribosomal RNA is filed under the name uncultured bacterium. RNAcentral describes it as "bacterial SSU rRNA". It matches the Rfam family "Bacterial small subunit ribosomal RNA", at positions 585 to 991 of the family's 1533-position model. The record is from RNAcentral.
AAGUGAAUAGUGAAACCUGGUGGCUCAACCAUACAGACUAUUAUUCAAACUGUUAAACUCGAGAAUGGUAGAGGUAACUGGAAUUUCUAGUGUAGGAGUGAAAUCCGUAGAUAUUAGAAGGAACACCGAUGGCGUAGGCAGGUUACUGGGCCAUUUCUGACGCUAAGGCACGAAAGCGUGGGGAGCGAACCGGAUUAGAUACCCGGGUAGUCCACGCCGUAAACGAUGGAUACUAGCUGUUGGAGGUAUCGACCCCUUCAGUAGCGAAGCUAACGCGUUAAGUAUCCCGCCUGUGGAGUACGGCCGCAAGGCUAAAACAUAAAGGAAUUGACGGGGACCCGCACAAGCGGUGGAUUAUGUUCUUUAAUUCGAUGAUAACCGAAGAACCUUACCAGGGCUUGACAUCCAG